CAGCAGCCGCGGUAAUACGAAGGGGGCUAGCGUUGCUCGGAAUGACUGGGCGUAAAGGGCGCGUAGGCGGUUUGUCGAGUUAGAUGUGAAAUUCCCGGGCUUAACCUGGGGACUGCAGUUGAUACUGGCAGGCUUGAGUGUGGAAGAGGGUCGUGGAAUUCCCAGUGUAGAGGUGAAAUUCGUAGAUAUUGGGAAGAACACCAGUGGCGAAGGCGGCGACCUGGUCCAUAACUGACGCUGAGGCGCGAAAGCGUGGGGAGCAAACAGGAUUAGAUACCCCCGUAGUCCCUGUCUCUUAUAC
This 301-nucleotide ribosomal RNA is filed under the name uncultured bacterium. Its description in RNAcentral is "partial 16S ribosomal RNA". It matches the Rfam family "Bacterial small subunit ribosomal RNA", at positions 509 to 807 of the family's 1533-position model. The record is from RNAcentral.